GACGAACGCUGGCGGCGUGCUUAACACAUGCAAGUCGAACGGAAAGGCCCUGCUCUUGUGGGGUGCUCGAGUGGCGAAGGGGAGAGUAACACAAGAGUAAACUGCCCUUGACUUUGGGAUAACAUCACGAAACUGGGGCGAAUACCGGACAGGAGAUUCUGCUUCUUUGUGGUGAUUGGUAAGUUACGGCGGUUGGGGAUGGACUCGCGGCGUCCCAGCUGUAUGGUGGGGUUGUGGCUUACAAGGGCUUUGAAGGGUAGACGGCCUGAGAGGGUGAGCGGCCACAUUGGGACUGAGAUACGGGCCAGACGUGUACGGUAUGCAGCAGUGGGGAAUAUUGCGCAGUGGGCGGGCGCCGUAUGCGGCAACGCCGCGUGCGUUAUGACCGUCUUCGGGUUGUAAACCGCUUUCGCCUGUGAUGUAGCGUGAUUGACGGUAACGGGUAAAGAAGCACCGGCUAACUACGUG
RNAcentral lists this ribosomal RNA (468 nucleotides) under uncultured bacterium. RNAcentral describes it as "partial 16S ribosomal RNA". It matches the Rfam family "Bacterial small subunit ribosomal RNA", at positions 28 to 507 of the family's 1533-position model. The record is from RNAcentral.